CACGUAGGGGGCAAGCGUUGUCCGGAUUUAUUGGGCGUAAAGAGCUCGUAGGCGGUUCGGUAAGUCGGGUGUGAAACCUCCAGGCUCAACCUGGAGACGCCACCUGAUACUGCUGUGACUCGAAUCCGGUAGGGGAGCGUGGAAUUCCUGGUGUAGCGGUGAAAUGCGCAGAUAUCAGGAGGAACACCUAUAGCGAAGGCAGCUUGCUGGGACGUUACUGACGCUGAGGCACGAAAGCGUGGGGAGCAAACAGG
Molecule: ribosomal RNA, 254 nt
Filed under: uncultured bacterium
Lineage: Bacteria
Description: partial 16S ribosomal RNA
Rfam family: Bacterial small subunit ribosomal RNA
Source: RNAcentral